RNAcentral lists this ribosomal RNA (600 nucleotides) under uncultured bacterium. RNAcentral's name for it is "bacterial SSU rRNA". It matches the Rfam family "Bacterial small subunit ribosomal RNA", at positions 732 to 1336 of the family's 1533-position model. The record is from RNAcentral.
GUCCUUUACUGACGCUAAAGCUCGAAAGUGCGGGUAUCGAACAGGAUUAGAUACCCUGGUAGUCCGCACGGUAAACGAUGGAUGCCCGCUGUUUGCGAUACAAUGUAAGCGGCCAAGCGAAAGCGUUAAGCAUCCCACCUGGGGAGUACGCCGGCAACGGUGAAACUCAAAGGAAUUGACGGGGGCCCGCACAAGCGGAGGAACAUGUGGUUUAAUUCGAUGAUACGCGAGGAACCUUACCCGGGCUUGAACUGCAGCGGAAGGAUUGAGAGAUCAUGACGCCCUUCGGGGCCGCUGUGGAGGUGCUGCAUGGUUGUCGUCAGCUCGUGCCGUGAGGUGUCGGCUUAAGUGCCAUAACGAGCGCAACCCCUUUCGUCAGUUGCCAUCAGGUUAAGCUGGGCACUCUGGCGACACUGCCACCGUAAGGUGUGAGGAAGGUGGGGAUGACGUCAAAUCAGCACGGCCCUUACGUCCGGGGCUACACACGUGUUACAAUGGGUGGUACAGAGAGUCGGCCGCUGGCAAUGGCGGUCCAAUCAUGAAAGCCAUCCUCAGUUCGGAUUGGGGUCUGCAACCCGACCCCAUGAAGCUGGAUUCGCU